Molecule: long non-coding RNA, 1667 nt
Filed under: Gossypium barbadense (sea-island cotton)
Lineage: Eukaryota; Viridiplantae; Streptophyta; Magnoliopsida; Malvales; Malvaceae
Description: long non-coding RNA (GBAR_LNC000003)
Source: RNAcentral
GCCCUUGCCUUCGAAGGUAACCUUCGUCCCUUUGGUCCAUCCCGGCUUUACGUUAAUUGUUAGUGUCUCCUCUUGCUUGACUAUCAUUCUGUAUACAUAAAGAAAAAAAAUGAAUUUAUAUGCGGGUCGGGUCGUAUCGGGUGGGUGGAAACGGAUUUUAGUAUAGCUUAAUUCAAAUUAGUUUUAAAAAGUUAUAUAAGGAUAAAUUUAGUUCUUAACAUUUAAAUUUUUUUAUUAAUUUGGUAUUUAUUUUUCAGUUAAACUUAUUUUUUUAACAGAGUUAAAUUAUUUUUUUAACAAAAAUAUUAAUUUUUUUUACAAAUUCAGUGUGACAAGUUGUGUAGCAAUCUAUAUGUAUUUCAUAGGAAAAAUAAAAUAAUUUUAAGAAUUAAAAAAAAUUAAUAUUAAGUACACGUGGAUUGUUAUGCAUGAUGUUUGUUGCUUUUAAAAAUUUAAUGUUUUAGUCAAUAUUUUUAUUAAAAAACAAUUAGACUCUUUUUGAAAUUUGAUGGACAAAUUUGACACUUUUUAAAAUAUUAAAAGCUAAAUUAUAGACUAAAUUUAUCAUUAUGCCUUUAAAAAUAUUUACUAUCAUUAUAUUGUUUUUAAAGAGCUAAACCGAAACCAAAAUCGAAACUAAAUUGAACCAUACUAAUUUGGAUCGGUUUAGUUCAUUGGUUUCUUUACUCAUCCUUAAUUGGCCGGCUUAUGUAUUGUAUUAAGAUUAUACUUGCUUGUUGAAGUUUUGCCUAACCCGACAAGAAAUAUGAGUUUUAAAUUUUAUUCGAAAUCGUUUGUAUUUGUAGGUAGUUAUUUUUUUAAUAUUUUAUUAUAUAGCUAUAGGAUACUUGUUAACUCUUUAUUGCUUGUGGAAUCUAAAAACUCCCAUCAAAUGUACCAAAUAUUUUUCCUUAAUUUAAAAUUCUAUAUUUUAUAAAAAAAGACUAUAUUCUAAAAUUAGAAAACAGGUCGAGAUGAGCUUGGACCAAAAUACAGGAGCUCAAACUCAAUUCGUAUUUUAAAUAGAUUUUAAUAUUUUCAUCCAAAUCACACUUUUUGAGCUUAAUUUGUUCAAACCCUUUCAAAUAUAGGGUAAGACUUCAGAUUUAAGUGAGUAGUCUAACCAUAAAUAAGUCUACCUCAAACUCGAGAUUCAAUUUAAUUGUUGAUUAUAGCAUCAUGCAUAUUUAAGUCUUAUGAACAUUAGAUAUACUCGAGAAAAAGAUGGCGUACAUAUAAAAAGAAAUAGAGUUUCAUACCCUUCUUCAGAAAUGACAUCUUUUACGAUGUUGAUCUUUUUUAGCCCUCCAUGACAGAGCUCCUCCAAGGUGCAUUCAAGUGUUUUUUCGACUGGCAAAGGUUUUCUCCGAGCAAUGGAGUGUGAGAAUAUAAUAGGAGUGGUGCUCCUUUGGCUUGUACUUCUCGAAAGGUUAGGUUUUUCGGUUUCUGAAUUGCCUUUUCGGCUCAAACUUCUCGAAAGAGUGGAAGCUCGAUUGACACUAACACUUCUCUUCUGUUGUUGUUUUUGUGGUGUUUCAUCUUCGUCUCGACCCUUUUUACUAAAAGUUCUCGAAAGCGCGAAUCUCGAAGGGCUAUUAGAUGUCCGGAUCGAACUCUUUGACAAAUAGGUCGGUACAGGUGUAGGUGUGUGGCUCCUCCUACUCGAA